RNAcentral lists this ribosomal RNA (1307 nucleotides) under uncultured Scleroderma. Its description in RNAcentral is "eukaryotic LSU rRNA". The stretch from base 668 to 1307 matches the Rfam family "Eukaryotic large subunit ribosomal RNA", at positions 1 to 620 of the family's 3401-position model. Lineage: Eukaryota; Fungi; Basidiomycota; Agaricomycetes; Boletales; Sclerodermataceae. The record is from RNAcentral.
AGGAUCAUUAUCGAAACAGAACGCCCGGGGGGGAAAGGGGGAGCGCCGACGGCCCGAGACUGUCGCCGGCCUCGCGCGCGUGCACGUCCCUCGCCGUCGCUCUUUCCGACCCUUCGAGGCUUUCGACCUUCUCGACACCUGUGCACCCGCUGUAGGUCCUUCGGGACCUACGUCUUUCUUCGAACCCGCAUGUCUACAGAACGUAUUCGUCGCGUCCCGGCCUCGACCCUCAGGGUCCCGCGUCGGCGACCGCAAAACCUAUGAUACAACUUUCAGCAACGGAUCUCUUGGCUCUCGCAUCGAUGAAGAACGCAGCGAAUCGCGAUAAGUAAUGUGAAUUGCAGAUUUUCCGUGAAUCAUCGAAUCUUUGAACGCACCUUGCGCUCCUUGGUAUUCCGAGGAGCAUGCCUGUUUGAGUGUCAUCGAAACCUCAGACCGACCCUUCGACCCCGUCGGAGCUCGGUCUGGACUCGUGGGAGUCUGCGGGCGAAGCGUGACUUCGUCGGCUCUCCUCAAAAGCAUUAGCCGUGGGUGGCGAGCCUGGCAUGGCACGGCCUCCUCGACGUCGUAAUGAUCGUCGUGGGCUGGAAGUGUACGGCUCGACGGACCCAUGCUUCGCAAGUCUUGCGAGCCCGUCCCUCGCGGACGGCCGCGCCCCAUCGAAGCUUGACCUCAAAUCAGGUAGGACUACCCGCCGAACUUAAGCAUAUCAAUAAGCGGAGGAAAAGAAACUAACGAGGAUUCCCCUAGUAACUGCGAGUGAAGCGGGAAGAGCUCAAAUUUCGAAUCUGGCGGUCCUCGAUCGUCCGAGUUGUAAUCUAGAGAAGCGUCUUCCGCGCCGGACCGUGUACAAGUCUCCUGGAAGGGAGCAUCGUAGAGGGUGACAAUCCCGUCUCUGACACGGACCGCCGGCGCUAUGUGAUGCGCUCUCGACGAGUCGAGUUGUUUGGGAAUGCAGCUCAAAUCGGGUGGUAAACUCCAUCUAAAGCUAAAUACGGGCGAGAGACCGAUAGCGAACAAGUACCGUGAGGGAAAGAUGAAAAGAACUUUGGAAAGAGAGUUAAACAGUACGUGAAAUUGCUGGAAGGGAAACGCUUGACGUCAGUCGCGUCGUCCGGGGAUCAACCCUGCCUCUGGCUGGGCGUAUUUCCCGGUCGACGGGUCAGCAUCGAUUUCGAUCGUCGUAGAAGGACGGGAGCGAACGUGGCACUCCACGGAGUGUGUUAUAGCCUCCCGUAUGGAUGCGACGGUCGGGAUCGAGGAACUCGGCACGGCCCCUCGAGGGUUCGGGACUUCGGUCCACGCAG